CCCUCAAACCCCCGCCACCGCCAGCCACUUUCUACCACUACGGAAUAUUUAUUUUAUUUUAUUUUGUAAGAUGUAAGAUCAUUUUUUUUCCUUUCCUGUUAGUUACUAUCUUUGAUUAAAUAUUCAUAUUUUGGAAUUCUACUUACUCGGCAAUUGCAUGGGGAGAGGCAGGAUUGGGGGUGACACACACUGCAUUGAGUGAUGCCAGAGAAAUUUAUGCAAAAAAAACUUACCAACUUCAUUGAAAAGCGACUCAAGUCAGAAAGGGCUGCUUCUAUUUGGACAAGCACAUUGCAACAAACUAUUGAAAUGGCCAGAAAGUUAGAAAUAGUUUUGUAAGCGAUGUUGUGGAGA
Molecule: long non-coding RNA, 354 nt
Organism: Quercus robur (English oak)
Lineage: Eukaryota; Viridiplantae; Streptophyta; Magnoliopsida; Fagales; Fagaceae
Exons: 3
Source: RefSeq, a predicted model, not a curated record